GCUCCGGUGACCUAGUGGUUAGAGCGUCUGCCUCAAAUGCGAGAGGUGGCGGGUUUGAUCCCCGGUCGAGUCA
Potamilus streckersoni is the source of this 73-nucleotide non-coding RNA. The record is from the annotation of a GenBank genome assembly. Lineage: Eukaryota; Metazoa; Mollusca; Bivalvia; Unionida; Unionidae.